UGAGGAAUAUUGGUCAAUGGGCGAGAGCCUGAACCAGCCAAGUAGCGUGCAGGACGACGGCCCUAUGGGUUGUAAACUGCUUUUAUGUGGGGAUAAAGUGCGUGACGUGUCAUGCAUUGCAGGUACCACAUGAAUAAGGACCGGCUAAUUCCGUGCCAGCAGCCGCGGUAAUACGUAGGGCGCAAGCGUUAUCCGGAAUUAUUGGGCGUAAAGAGCUUGUAGGCGGUUCGUCGCGUCUGGUGUGAAAGCCCAUCGCUUAACGGUGGGUUUGCGGCGGGUACGGGCGGGCUAGAGUGCAGUAGGGGAGACUGGAAUUCCCGGUGUAACGGUGGAAUGUGUAGAUAUCGGGAAGAACACCAAUGGCGAAGGCAGGUCUCUGGGCUGUUACUGACGCUGAGAAGCGAAAGCGUGGGGAGCGAACAGG
This 424-nucleotide ribosomal RNA is filed under the name Verrucomicrobiota bacterium. Its description in RNAcentral is "Verrucomicrobia bacterium partial 16S ribosomal RNA". It matches the Rfam family "Bacterial small subunit ribosomal RNA", at positions 355 to 776 of the family's 1533-position model. The record is from RNAcentral. Lineage: Bacteria; Pseudomonadati; Verrucomicrobiota.